Molecule: ribosomal RNA, 71 nt
Filed under: Fusarium proliferatum
Lineage: Eukaryota; Fungi; Ascomycota; Sordariomycetes; Hypocreales; Nectriaceae
Description: partial 28Sribosomal RNA
Source: RNAcentral
CAACUUCUGAAUGUUGACCUCGGAGUCAGGUAGGAAUACCCGCUGAACUUAAGCAUAUCAAUAAGCGAGGA